AGUCGAGCGAACAGACGAGGAGCUUGCUCCUCUGACGUUAGCGGCGGACGGGUGAGUAACACGUGGGUAACCUACCUAUAAGACUGGGAUAGCUCCGGGAAACCGGGGCUAAUACCGGAUAACACAUGAAACCGCAUGGUUUCAUGAUGAAAGACGGUUUUGCUGUCACUUAUAGAUGGACCCGCGGCGUAUUAGCUAGUUGGUAAGGUAACGGCUUACCAAGGCAACGAUACGUAGCCGACCUGAGAGGGUGAUCGGCCACACUGGAACUGAGACACGGUCCAGACUCCUACGGGAGGCAGCAGUAGGGAAUCUUCCGCAAUGGGCGAAAGCCUGACGGAGCAACGCCGCGUGAGUGAUGAAGGUCUUCGGAUCGUAAAACUCUGUUAUUAGGGAAGAACAAGGAUGUAAGUAACUAUGCACGUCUUGACGGUACCUAAUCAGAAAGCCACGGCUAACUACGUGCCAGCAGCCGCGGUAAUACGUAGGUGGCAAGCGUUAUCCGGAAUUAUUGGGCGUAAAGCGCGCGUAGGCGGUUUUUUAAGUCUGAUGUGAAAGCCCACGGCUCAACCGUGGAGGGUCAUUGGAAACUGAAAAACUUGAGUGCAGAAGAGGAAAGUGGAAUUCCAUGUGUAGCGGUGAAAUGCGCAGAGAUAUGGAGGAACACCAGUGGCGAAGGCGACUUUCUGGUCUGUAACUGACGCUGAUGUGCGAGAGCGUGGGGAUCAAACAGGAUUAGAU
This 741-nucleotide ribosomal RNA is filed under the name uncultured Staphylococcus sp. Its description in RNAcentral is "bacterial SSU rRNA". It matches the Rfam family "Bacterial small subunit ribosomal RNA", at positions 60 to 783 of the family's 1533-position model. Lineage: Bacteria; Bacillati; Bacillota; Bacilli; Caryophanales; Staphylococcaceae. The record is from RNAcentral.